ACGGGUGAGUAACGCGUGGGGAUCUGCCUUAAAGAGGGGGACAACCCGAGGAAACUCGGGCUAAUACCGCAUAAUCUCGAGAGAGAAAAUGGUGGGUAGCAAUACCUGUCGCUUUAAGAGGAACCUGCGUCUGAUUAGCUAGUUGGUGGGGUAAAGGCCUACCAAGGCGAUGAUCGGUAGCUGGUCUGAGAGGAUGAUCAGCCACACUGGGACUGAGACACGGCCCAGACUCCUACGGGAGGCAGCAGUGGGGAAUAUUGGACAAUGGGGGCAACCCUGAUCCAGCAAUACCGCGUGUGUGAAGAAGGCCUUAGGGUUGUAAAGCACUUUAGGCCGGGAGGAAGAUGAUUAGUUUAAGAGAUGAAUCAUUUGACUGUACCGGCAGAAUAAGCACCGGCUAACUCUGUGCCAGCAGCCGCGGUAAUACAGAGGGUGCGAGCGUUAAUCGGAGUUACUGGGCGUAAAGGGCGCGUAGGCGGUCUUAUAAGAUUGAUGUGAAAUCCCUGGGCUUAACCUAGGAACGGCAUCGAUGACUGUGAGACUGGAGUAUUGUAGAGGGUAGUGGAAUUUCCGGU
This 575-nucleotide ribosomal RNA is filed under the name uncultured bacterium. RNAcentral describes it as "bacterial SSU rRNA". It matches the Rfam family "Bacterial small subunit ribosomal RNA", at positions 102 to 674 of the family's 1533-position model. The record is from RNAcentral.